Molecule: ribosomal RNA, 460 nt
Filed under: uncultured bacterium
Lineage: Bacteria
Description: partial 16S ribosomal RNA
Rfam family: Bacterial small subunit ribosomal RNA
Source: RNAcentral
CCUACGGGUGGCUGCAGUGAGGAAUAUUGGUCAAUGGACGAGAGUCUGAACCAGCCAAGUAGCGUGAAGGAUGACUGUCCUAUGGGUUGUAAACUUCUUUUAUCUGGGAAUAAAACGUUCCACGUGUGGGAUUUUGUAUGUACCAUAUGAAUAAGGAUCGGCUAACUCCGUGCCAGCAGCCGCGGUAAUACGGAGGAUCCGAGCGUUAUCCGGAUUUAUUGGGUUUAAAGGGAGCGUAGGUGGAUUGUUAAGUCAGUUGUGAAAGUUUGCGGCUCAACCGUAAAAUUGCAGUUGAAACUGGCAGUCUUGAGUAGAGGAGAGGUGGGCGGAAGUCGUGGUGUAGCGGUGAAAUGCUUAGAUAUCACGAAGAACUCCGAUUGCGAAGGCAGUUCACUGGACUGCAACUGACACUGAGGCUCGAAAGUGUGGGUAUCAAACAGGAUUAGAUACCCCUGUAGUC